UCUUGUCUUCCCCUGUGUGCUUGGUCGGUUCAUUGUUGGUUUUUCCUGUCUCCCUCCAUGUCAAUCACGCUUCAACAGUCAGCGAACCAAAUGGAGGACAGAGAUUCAGAAUGUCCUCACCCAAAUCAAGGAGGAAUCCUCCAACCAAGAUCUCUCUGCAAUUCUGGUCAUGAUGGCACAUUUCAAGGAAAAAGAAGAGGUUAUUUUCCUUUUGGCUGAUGACUGCAACCAAGGAUGAAAUUGAGGCUCAACUGACCCUACCAGGCACACCAAGGCUCAUCAUGUUAGGGGACCCUUUUACUUUCACAUAAUUACAGAAGAUGUACUGUUGUGAUCUGAUGUUGUGACCUCACUACUUGUGAUUUUGUAUUUUAAUUGGUCUGUUGUAUUUUAAUCUGUCAUAAACUGUUGUAUUUUAA
This is a long non-coding RNA of Trematomus bernacchii (emerald rockcod), 419 nucleotides long. RefSeq lists it as uncharacterized. The transcript is spliced from 4 exons. NCBI's taxonomy places the organism in Eukaryota, Metazoa, Chordata, Actinopteri, Perciformes, Nototheniidae. The record is from RefSeq and is a predicted model, not a curated record.